Molecule: ribosomal RNA, 460 nt
Filed under: uncultured bacterium
Lineage: Bacteria
Description: partial 16S ribosomal RNA
Rfam family: Bacterial small subunit ribosomal RNA
Source: RNAcentral
CCUACGGGUGGCAGCAGUGAGGAAUAUUGGUCAAUGGGCGGAAGCCUGAACCAGCCAAGUAGCGUGCAGGAUGACGGCCCUACGGGUUGUAAACUGCUUUUAUACGGGAAUAAAGUGCCUUACGUGUACGGCUUGGCGAGUACCGGAUGAAUAAGGACCGGCUAAUUCCGUGCCAGCAGCCGCGGUAAUACGGAAGGUGCGGGCGUUAUCCGGAUUUAUUGGGUUUAAAGGGAGCGUAGGCCGCAUGUUAAGCGUGCGGUGAAAUGGCGGGGCUCAACCCGGGCCUUGCGGCGCGAACUGGGGUGCUUGAGUGCGCGGAAAGGACGCGGAAUUCGUGGUGUAGCGGUGAAAUGCUUAGAUAUCACGAAGAACUCCGAUUGCGAAGGCAGCUUGCUGCAGCGGAACUGACGCUGAAGCUCGAAGGCGCGGGUAUCGAACAGGAUUAGAUACCCCAGUAGUC